GAACGCUGGCGGCAUGCCUAACACAUGCAAGUCGAACGCAUCUUCGGAUGAGUGGCGCACGGGUGAGUAACGCGUGGGAACCUACCCUGAGGUUCGGAAUAACGGCUGGAAACGGCCGCUAAUACCGGAUGUGUCCUAUGGGGCAAAGGCUUGCCGCCUUGGGAGGGGCCCGCGUCCGAUUAGCUAGUUGGUGAGGUAACGGCUCACCAAGGCGACGAUCGGUAGCUGGUCUGAGAGGAUGAUCAGCCACACUGGGACUGAGACACGGCCCAGACUCCUACGGGAGGCAGCAGUGGGGAAUAUUGGACAAUGGGCGCAAGCCUGAUCCAGCAAUGCCGCGUGUGUGAUGAAGGCCCUAGGGUUGUAAAGCACUUUCGCCGGUGACGAUGAUGACGGUAGCCGGAUAAGAAGCCCCGGCUAA
This 421-nucleotide ribosomal RNA is filed under the name uncultured Alphaproteobacteria bacterium. RNAcentral describes it as "bacterial SSU rRNA". It matches the Rfam family "Bacterial small subunit ribosomal RNA", at positions 31 to 500 of the family's 1533-position model. Lineage: Bacteria; Pseudomonadati; Pseudomonadota; Alphaproteobacteria. The record is from RNAcentral.